GCUUUUCAGAGGAAUUUGCUCUUUAAUGGAUAAAACACCAAAAUCUUACUUAAAUUUGUUACUUCAAUUUGUAUACCACUAUAAAAACAAUUUAUAACUUUAAUUGUUUAAAUUUAUUAAAUUAAAAUAUAUUAAGUCAAGGUGCAGUAAAAAUUUAAGAAUGAAGUGAAUUACAUUACUUUUUAGUGAAAAAAAAUUAUAAUAACACUUAGGAUUUGAAAGUAAAUUUGAAAUAGGAUGUCAAUUUGAAUCAAGCUCUAAAAUAUGUACACAUCGCC
RNAcentral lists this ribosomal RNA (278 nucleotides) under Rhipicephalus sanguineus (brown dog tick). RNAcentral describes it as "partial 12S ribosomal RNA". The record is from RNAcentral. Lineage: Eukaryota; Metazoa; Arthropoda; Arachnida; Ixodida; Ixodidae.